RNAcentral lists this long non-coding RNA (991 nucleotides) under Homo sapiens (human). Its description in RNAcentral is "HSALNT0374920". The record is from RNAcentral. Lineage: Eukaryota; Metazoa; Chordata; Mammalia; Primates; Hominidae.
CUUGUUCAUCUGGCUCUCCCCACCCUCCUACUUUCAGACUUAUCCUUCUAGGUCAGCAAAUCUGGAGAGCCUCUCCUCUUGAUCUAGGGUCAUUAUUACAAUGAAGGGAAGAAAGGAAGACAUGAAGGGGAAAUGGGACUAUUUACCAAGUGUAUCUGCAUAGACUAAAGGAGACAAGAGGAAGUACUGAGCACCUUGAUUCCUGCAGAUAAUUAUUUAAGAACCAUAAGAAUUCUUUCCUAGCUUCUCAUAAGCCUGCUCCUUCAAAGGGUUAACUGCAGUGAAUCAAACUAUUGGAUUAUAAUUCCAUGAAGUAAGUUUAUUGAAGACAAACAGGCCUUGGGCCGCUGCCUCUGUCUCUCCUGCCUUCCCCACUGAAUCUCCAGCCCACAUUCACAAACAAAGACAAACCUGUGUAAACUGAAGCACCACAAAACUACUUUUAUGAAAGCAGAAUGGAAGCAGAUUUCACCUGCAUUUCCUACAUUCAACUGAAUCCUUUAAAUUGACUGAGGCACAUCCUGUACCAAGGAGAGACCUUUGUUACUGCCUUUGAUCCUGAGACCUUCUGAGCCAGGAAAAAAAAUAAGAUACAGAAUAUAAAGAGACAGCAUAAAUGAUAGAAAACAAAAUAAGCAUGUUCAUGAGCCAGAAAUCAAGAAGAAAAGGCAAUGAUAAAAAGGGCUGAAGCCGGAGGCAUCCCAGGCCCUGGGUCUGGAAGCAGCUCUGGAGGCUGCUGCGUUCCUUGGCUCUUGGCUGCCUCUCCAUCUUCAAAGUGCAUCACUGCAGCCUGCGCUUCAUCCAUCACGUUGGCUCUGUCGCUCACAUUUCUACUUCUCUCUUGCAAGGACCCUUGGGAUUCUAUUGGACUCACCUGGAUAAUCCAAGAUAAUCUUCAUCUUAAAAUCCUUAAUUUAGUCACACACAGAAAAUCACCUCUGUUAUGUAAAGUAACAUAUUUCCAUAUCCUGGAGGAAGGGGGCAUUGAUGU